UAGCAAGCCUCCGGCAUGCUUGGGUCUGCAGUGACCCUGUCGCAUUCCUACAGUGCUUGCCUGUACAGCUUUGAAAUGGAUUGAGGCCUUGCCCCACCCUAUCCAGAGCAAGGUUAUAGGAACUUCAGACAAUC
This 134-nucleotide small nucleolar RNA is filed under the name Marmota marmota marmota (Alpine marmot). Its description in RNAcentral is "Small nucleolar RNA SNORA9 (ENSMMMG00000016301.1)". It matches the Rfam family "Small nucleolar RNA SNORA9". Rfam says of the family: ACA9 is a member of the H/ACA class of snoRNA that guide the sites of modification of uridines to pseudouridines. RNAcentral also lists the same sequence under 1 other name. Lineage: Eukaryota; Metazoa; Chordata; Mammalia; Rodentia; Sciuridae. The record is from Rfam by way of RNAcentral.